UUACCUGCCAGAACCCCCCCCAUUUUUUACGGUUGACCUCGGAUCAGGUAGGGAUACCCGCUGAACUUAAGCAUAUCAAUAAGCGGAGGAAAAGAAACCAACAGGGAUUGCCUCAGUAACGGCGAGUGAAGCGGCAACAGCUCAAAUUUGAANUCUGGCUCUUUCGGGGUCCGAGUUGUAAUUUGUAGAAGAUGCUUUGGGUGUGGCUCCGGUCUAAGUUCCUUGGAACAGGACGUCAUAGAGGGUGAGAAUCCCGUACGUGACUGGGUGCCUUCGCUCGUGUAAAGCUCUUUCGACGAGUCGAGUUGUUUGGGAAUGCAGCUCAAAAUGGGUGGUAAAUUUCAUCUAAAGCUAAAUAUUGGCCAGAGACCGAUAGCGCACAAGUAGAGUGAUCGAAAGAUGAAAAGCACUUUGGAAAGAGAGUUAAACAGUACGUGAAAUUGUUGAAAGGGAAGCGCUUGCAACCAGACUUGCGCGCUGUUGAUCAUCCGAGCUUUUGCCCGGUGCACUCGGCAGCGCUCAGGCCAGCAUCGGUUUUGGUGGGCGGAUAAAGGCCUUGGGAAUGUAGCUCUCUUCGGGGAGUGUUAUAGCCCUCGGUGCAAUGCGCCCUACCGGGACCGAGGACUGCGCUUCGGCUAGGAUGCUGGCGUAAUGGUUGUAAGCGACC
Molecule: ribosomal RNA, 667 nt
Filed under: uncultured fungus
Lineage: Eukaryota; Fungi
Description: eukaryotic LSU rRNA
Rfam family: Eukaryotic large subunit ribosomal RNA
Source: RNAcentral